UACGGAGGGUGCGAGCGUUACCCGGAAUCACUGGGCGUAAAGGGCGUGUAGGCGGGACCAUAAGUCUGACUUCAAAGGCAAUGGCUCAACCGUUGUAAGGGGUUGGAUACUGUGGUUCUAGACCUCUGGAGAGGCAACUGGAAUUCUUGGUGUAGCGGUGGAAUGCGUAGAUACCAAGAGGAACACCGAUGGCGAAGGCAGGUUGCUGGACAGAAGGUGACGCUGAGGCGCGAAAGUGUGGGGAGCGAACCGG
RNAcentral lists this ribosomal RNA (253 nucleotides) under uncultured bacterium. RNAcentral describes it as "partial 16S ribosomal RNA". It matches the Rfam family "Bacterial small subunit ribosomal RNA", at positions 524 to 776 of the family's 1533-position model. The record is from RNAcentral.